UACGUAGGCAGCGAGCGUUGUUCGGAGUUACUGGGCGUAAAGGGUGUGUAGGCGGUUGUUUAAGUUUGGUGUGAAAUCUCCCGGCUCAACUGGGAGGGUGCGCCGAAUACUGAGCGACUAGAGUUCGGGAGAGGGAUGCGGAAUUCCAGGUGUAGCGGUGAAAUGCGUAGAUAUCUGGAGGAACACCGGUGGCGAAGGCGGCGUUCUGGACUGUCUCUGACACUGAAGAACGAAAGCCAGGGGAGCAAACGGG
Molecule: ribosomal RNA, 253 nt
Filed under: uncultured bacterium
Lineage: Bacteria
Description: partial 16S ribosomal RNA
Rfam family: Bacterial small subunit ribosomal RNA
Source: RNAcentral